CUUGAGACAAGGUUUACAGGAGAUACCCCCACCCCCAUCGCCCCCUGAACAGAUAGUGUUUCUCCAUCACUCAGGGUCAGGCUGGAGCUCAAGGAAGAAUUGCAAGGGCCAUCCAGGCUAACAGGUUUCAACCCACGUUGUCCAUUCACACCCCCCUGGAUGCACAUACUGAUGACCAGGCCUGCCCACUGAAGCUGACCCUGCAGUGGGAGGUGUAGCCCUCUGGACAAGCUGCCUCGGUGGCUUCCUUAAAAUGGGGAUGGAGGCACUUUUGCCUCAUAUCCUGCUCCUGUAUUGGCCAUGAGUACAGAAGUACAAAGCCGGCUUGCACAUGGCCACGUCACUCACCGUCGCUGGUAUCUGCACACACCAGAGUCCUGUGCUCCUUGGUUUGUUCUCUGUCACUACACUACACUACACUAGGACUCCAUACUGUGCUAUGCUCGCCUUAUCUGAGUAAGAGUCUCCAGGCAUCGACAGGGACCUGAAGCCCCUGGGAAGGGGCUCUCUCAUUUGUGACCAGUAUGUCAGUUUGUAAAACUCCAACCCCAUGUUCAGAGGGUAGGAUGGCCUCCUAGUGAAGAAACCAGCCCAAAAAAACACUGGCUGCCACAUCUAUGUGGCUAGAUGUGGGGUCCAGGGAGCUUCUCAUCCCAUUUCUGCACAACACCAUCCCCUUAAAAAGGCUAUCUCCACUGUAAGGGAACCAGACCUCACAUUCAGGAACAGGUCACAGGCGGCUAUGAACAAAUUUAUUUUUUGUUUUGUUUUUUUACAUCUAGAAUAAAUUAUUUAAAUUAUUUCAUAGCAAGGGAGAGGGAUAGGUAAUUUUUAUCAGAUAUUUUUUUAAGUCAUCUUUUUUUUUUUUUUUUAAGAUUUGUGUUUUUAGUUCUUGAGCUAAUGGAGCAACACUGCCCACUAAGGCAGUGUCCACCCAAGCAGCAAAGAGGCCCUCAUCCCCUUCCUUCAUGCCUUGGGAGCUCCCUUUCUGUUGACUCAGGAACUUCGUGUGGAUGAGGAGAGUGCUUGGAGAUGAGCUUGUACCCCCUUAACCCUAGAAUAGUCCUGCUUCCUGGAACAAAACUUGAGGUCGUGUCCCAGAGGGAAACAGGAAGCGAGAAACGGACCUGCCUACGCUUUUCAUCUGAAACCGUGCCUGAAGCUGUUUGAGUGAUUGUUUUAAUGUUUCUUAAAUUCCUUGUACCUUUGUAAAAAAAAAAAUAAUUAAGAAAUAAAAGUUAAAAUAGAUACAGAAUCGUGCAAUGUGCAAUGGGAGAAUAUGACAAUCAUCCGUGGGUGGUAAUUCCCACCUUUAAUCCCAGCGCUUGGAAGGCUGAGGCAGGGGGAUUGAGAAUUUCAGACCAGCCUGGGCAAAGAGUCUGAGACCCUGCCUCAACCAAAAUAAUAAUAAAACACCAGACUCGAUAUUGC
This 1431-nucleotide long non-coding RNA is filed under the name Rattus norvegicus (Norway rat). RNAcentral describes it as "long non-coding RNA NONRATT023223". Lineage: Eukaryota; Metazoa; Chordata; Mammalia; Rodentia; Muridae. The record is from RNAcentral.